GCCAUCACCAAAUUACUAUAUACCAUUAUGGUGCCAUCUCUUGCAUCACUCCAGGCUUUUAAUAAGUCCCUUGGUGACAACAAAAGAACCUUAGUGCACCUUCUUCCUCACUCCUCUCAAGAAGCAACCACCAUACCAUUUUGCUUUCAAUGGCCAC
Cryptomeria japonica (Japanese cedar) is the source of this 157-nucleotide long non-coding RNA. RefSeq lists it as uncharacterized. The transcript is spliced from 3 exons. The record is from RefSeq and is a predicted model, not a curated record. NCBI's taxonomy places the organism in Eukaryota, Viridiplantae, Streptophyta, Pinopsida, Cupressales, Cupressaceae.